This 102-nucleotide non-coding RNA is filed under the name Bacillus sp. (in: firmicutes). RNAcentral describes it as "Bacillus sp. Guanine sequence". It matches the Rfam family "Purine riboswitch aptamer". Rfam says of the family: Riboswitches are metabolite binding domains within certain messenger RNAs that serve as precision sensors for their corresponding targets. Allosteric rearrangement of mRNA structure is mediated by ligand binding, and this results in modulation of gene expression. RNAcentral also lists the same sequence under 1 other name. The record is from RNAcentral. Lineage: Bacteria; Bacillati; Bacillota; Bacilli; Caryophanales; Bacillaceae.
CUAUAGUGUUACGUAUACCUUCAUAUAUCCUCGAUAAUAUGGUUCGAGAGUCUCUACCGGGUCACCUUAAAUGGCCUGACUAUGAAGGCAGGAUAUUCUUUU